UAGAAUUUUAUAUUAACUUUACCUAGCGGUUAAUGCUGGUUUUUUGUUAAUAUUUGGUUGGGAGGAUUAUUAAAUUUAACAAACUUUAUAUCAUUAUAAACUUUGAUUUAAGAAAAUAUAAUGAUCUUCAAUUUGAAAUAGUUAGAGUAAAUUACCUUAGGGAUAACAGCGUAAUAUUUUUUUAUAGACCUUAUAGAAAAAAAUGGUUGCGACCUCGAUGUUGAAUUAAGAUAAAUUUUAAAUGCAGGAGUUUAAUAAUUAAGU
Molecule: ribosomal RNA, 264 nt
Filed under: Lepidotrigona ventralis
Lineage: Eukaryota; Metazoa; Arthropoda; Insecta; Hymenoptera; Apidae
Description: partial large subunit ribosomal RNA
Source: RNAcentral